Non-coding RNA from Physcomitrium patens, 2553 nucleotides. Lineage: Eukaryota; Viridiplantae; Streptophyta; Bryopsida; Funariales; Funariaceae. The record is from RefSeq and is a predicted model, not a curated record.
UUUGAAACCCCUUAUUCAAACAACAUAAGCAGCAAACAUCACAGACUGGGCAAUCAAACAGAACGGAGCUGGAUCAGCAAUCUCCGAAGAGCAAUUCCAUUGCAGGCCAUUACGGUGGACAACGGAAGCGCCACAGUGUGUGCUGCGAAGGUGGACUGAUCAGAGGCGCCGCGACGAAUUCAGAGGAAAGCGGGAGUAGCACAGCCAGAUGCAGCAGCAACGGCGAGGAAGGCCACCUGGCAACGACGCCCGAGCGAAGGACGCCGCACAGGUGGGUUUAACAGCGACGAGGACGAAGAAGGCGAGCUUGGGACUACGCUAGAAUGCCGGGGGAGUCGCCCACGUUGGUGCAGCAGCAGCAAUGGCGAGGAGGGGCGAGCUGGCAAUGAACCUGGCGAGAUAGGGGACGCGUACCGGUGGGUGCAGCAGCGAAGUGCGGCGUUACAGUACAACAUUCAAGCAGAGCACUUAUGCACUGAAUCUGGACUCUGCUACUGUGAAGCGCACUUCACAGUGAACGUUAACUUCGAGAACUCUGAUUCAGUUCGAAGUUUCACACUCACUACUGUCGAAUGGCCGUCGAGAACCACCAAGGUCUUUGCGAUGAAUCAAAUUUCGGAUAGAUGUGGAGAAGAGGGAGGCUGGAUUGGAUGAUACUGGCACCCAGCUCGAGUACUGCAAAAUCCAGAGGCGAGUGACAGAUAUCAGGUGUCGCAGCCAGAUGCACGUGCUGCCUAGAGUGGUUCUAGUGUGGGUUAAGGGCCCACGGCUGUCUCCCUUCUACGCAGACGUGCUUGGUAAUUGGGGUGCUUGAGAACCCUAAGAGUGGAAUCAUCACACAAAUAGGGUUAGGAGAACGCGCGUAUUACAUGUCACGUCGGUCUGGUCACCAAAGCGUGUAAUUCAAACGCAACUGCGAGUCUGUUAUGGGAACAUCGAAGCCGUGAGUUGAUUCAACUAACGAUGCAAUUAUUUGGUCGCUGGGUUAUGAUUUCUUGAUCAUGAUUGAUGUUAACCAUGACAUAGUGCAAUUAUGGUGUUUGUGGUUGAAUUUGAAGUGGAAUCAUGGAUUGAUCAGUGCCAGCAUCGUCGUGGGUUAUCGGUCCAUCAACAACUCAUGCCUUGCUGGUACUCAUUUUUUUCCAUAUAAGUGGUCCGAUUCCUCAGAAGUUGAAUGGAAGUUUACACAGACUUUCACGUGAAUCCGUUGGCUCGGCAAUUGAAAUGGGCUGAUAACUAAGGUUGGACUUCAAGUUCAUGUCUUCAGGAGUUCAAAAAAAGAAAGUCGUGUAGCCUUCUGCACGUAACGACUCUAUUUACGUUGUUAGGUGCAAGCCUGCAGAACAUCUCUGUGUAGUGUGAUGGUCGCCAACCGAAAGAGUUAGUGAUCUUUCCUUGCUGAACGAGGUUUGUAAGAGGUUUUGAUAUUCUUGCAUACUUCCUGCAACUGCUUCCUGAAAGCAGCAUCACUAACGUCAGUAUUUUGUUACGGUGUGGUCUCUUUUUGAGUGCCGAGCAUCUCUCCGGUAUGUUAACUCGGCUUUUGUGAUAAUUCGAGUUUCUGAUAAUUGAGGAAGUCGUGGUUUUUCUCCAUCAUCAAGUGCUGCUUUUGAGAAUGAGUGACGUCACGGAGGAUUUAAUGUAAACGUACAAAAAUAUUUUCUGCAGCGCGAGGAAAUGCAUCCAACCUGUGCGUAAAAGUAAAGUUUUCACCACGAAGAGAUGAUAACUCAUUGUGAUGUUUGACAUUUUCCAGUUGAAAACUGAGUUUGAUACAGUAUUUAAACCUCAAGGACAGAUACCGGACUUCUUGGCUGGUCAAAACUAUAGCAGAGGCAUAAAAAACCCCUGAUUUAGAUACUGUACGUCCACAUACUGUACGAUCAUGGUACGAGGAGACACUAUACGAGCAGGUACACUGCCGCAUGAACAUGCACUUAUAGCGGACACAGAGAGCACCAUUAUUUAUGUUCCCAACUCCUCCUGCGUCCUUUGUGUUCAUCACCAAGCAUAUUUCGUUAUUUGUUGUUUGUCUUGGGAGCCUGGCGCCGCUGUUGUGCAAGGGAGUUGAAGAACUUUAUCCGAUCAGUCGGUAGAUAAGUUGAUCAAUGAGUACCUGAAUCGUUCAAAUGUAGACUCCAUUUAGCAUUAGUUUUAGAAUACAACGGUUGAAAAUUUUGAGACUCUCCUCAAUAUAGUGCUAUGGUCACAAUCGGUAUGACAACUUUGUUCAUAGGUGGGCCACGUAGGUAACACGAAUAGUGGACUGAGUUUGUUAUAAAUGGGACAAGACACUUGAAUCAAUCCCCAAAGUUCAAACUCUUUUCGAAAAGUAGGUUCCUGGUCUUCACGCUCCAUUGAGGGAGUAGAAACAGAUACCUUGACUUCAAAGGUGGCAUCUCAGUAGACCUGUCUCUUUCAAAGACCUCUUCGGAGCGUAAAGCUUCAGAGUCAAAGGUUGGAACUUAAACUCUCUGUGUUCUAACUGAUUUGGAUCCUGUAAUUGAGGAUGUAUCUCUUUUUUGUACCUCACACAAGAUUUGUGAUAUCUAA